UUAAGGGCGAAAGGGCACAUGGUGGAUGCCUUGGCACCAAAUGAUGAAGAAGGACGUGGUUAACUGCGAAAAGCUUCGGAGAGCUGUAAGCAAGCUUAGACCCGGAGAUAUCCGAAUGGGGCAACCCGGCUCUGUUAGAACAGAGUCAUUCUGAGAUAGAAUACAUAUAUUUCAGGAGAUCAACCCGCUGAACUGAAACAUCUAAGUAAGCGGAGGAAGAGAAAGUAAUAACGAUUUCCUUAGUAGCGGCGAGCGGACGGGAAAGAGCCUAAACCCAUUUAUAUGGGGGUAGUGGGACUCGAGUUAUCGAUUAGUACAAUAUAGACGAACACGGUUGGGAAGCCGGAUCGGAGAGGGUGAUAAUCCCGUAGUUGAAAUAUUGUAUUAAUUGUAUUGAGUAUCCCGAGUAGGCCGGGGCACGUGGAACCCUGGUUGAAUCAGCGAGGACCAUCUCGUAAGGCUAAAUACAUUUGGUGACCGAUAGUGAAUUAGUACCGUGAGGGAAAGGUGAAAAGCACCCCGGGAGGGGAGUGAAAUAGAACCUGAAACCGUGUGCUUACAAUCAGUCGGAGCCUGCAUUUAUGUGGGUGACGGCGUGCCUUUUGCAUAAUGAGCCGGUGAGUUAAUGUUAUCAGCAGGUUAAGUGAUACAGUCAUGUAGCCAUAGCGAAAGCGAGUUUUAAUAGAGCGACUUUGUUGAUAGUAUUAGACCCGAAGCCUAGUGAUCUACCCAUGUCCAGGUUGAAGUCACGGUAACACGUGAUGGAGGACCGCACCAGGAAGCGUUGAAAAGCUUUUGGAUGAGGUGUGGGUAGGGGUGAAAGGCCAAUCAAACUAGGAGAUAUCUGGUUCUCUCCGAAAACUGUUUAGGCAGUGCCUUAGAUAAGAGUUAUGGAGGUAGAGCACUGAAUGGGCUAGGGGGCAUACCAGCCUACUGAACCCAACCAAACUCCGAAUGCCAUAACUUAAUGUCUAGGAGACAGCGUGCGUGGGAUAAGCUUCGUACGCGAGAGGGGAACAACCCAGACCGACGGCUAAGGUCCCUAAAUAUAUGCUUAGUGAGGAAGGAUGUUUUAUUGCCAAGACAGCCAGGAUGUUGGCUUAGAAGCAGCCACCAUUUAAAGAGUGCGUAAUAGCUCACUGGUCAAGUGGUAAUGCACCGAAGAUGAUCGGGACUUAAGCAUAUUACCGAAGCCUCGGAUCCCAUAUUUAUAUGGGAUGGUAGGAGAGCAUUCCAGUCAGCGAUGAAGGAGAGCUGUAAGGCGAUCUGGAGCGUCUGGAAGAGACCAUGCCGGCAUGAGUAGCGAUAAUGUAAGUGAGAAACUUACACACCGCAAGCCUAAGGUUUCCUGAGUAAAGAUAAUCUUCUCAGGGUAAGUCUGCCCCUAAGGCGAGUCAAGCGAGCUUGAGUAGCUGAUGGGAAUCUGGUUAAUAUUCCAGAACUUGCUAUAGUUAGAGAUGGAGUGACGCAAUGGUGCUCCGGAGACGGGUGUUGGACGUCCCGUUGAACACGUGUAGAUUAGUGUAUAGGCAAAUCCGUACACUUUUAUUCGAGGCGUGGGACGAGAGCUUUAAGCUCAAAAGUCCGGUUAUAUACGUUGCCAAGAAAUAACUUCUAAUUGUUUGAAGCUAUAGCGAACAGUACCGCAAACCGACACAGGUAGGCGAGGAGAGUAUCCUAAGGUGUUCGAGAGAAUUCUGGUUAAGGAACUCGGCAAAAUGACCCCGUAACUUCGGGAGAAGGGGUGCCCCGUUAUCGUGAUAGUCUUUCGGCUUGAGCGAGAGGGGGCCGCAGUGAAGAGGUCCAAGCGACUGUUUAUCAAAAACACAGGUCUAUGCGAAGACGCAAGUCACGGUAUAUAGACUGACACCUGCCCGGUGCUGGAAGGUUAAGUGGAAGAGUUAGCUUUAUGCGAAGCUCAGAAAUUAAGCCCCAGUAAACGGCGGCCGUAACUAUAACGGUCCUAAGGUAGCGAAAUUCCUUGUCGGGUAAGUUCCGACCUGCACGAAUGGUGUAACCAGGAGCUCGGUGAAAUUGUAGUGGCGGUGAAGAUGCCGCCCACCCGCGAACGGACGGAAAGACCCCGUGAACCUUUACUGCAUCUUGACAUUGUAAUUUGGUUCAGUAUGUGUAGGAUAGGUGGGAGGCUAUGAAGCUGGUACGCUAGUAUCGGUGGAGCCAAUCUUGAAAUACCACCCUUAUUGUAUUGACUUACUAACGUGUACCGUGAUCCGGUAUGCGAACAUUGUCUGGAGGGCAGUUUGACUGGGGCGGUCGCCUCCUAAAAAGUAACGGAGGCUCACAAAGGUUCCCUCAGGCUGGUUGGUAAUCAGCCGUAGAGCGUAAAGGUAUAAGGGAGCUUAACUGCGAGACUGACGGGUCGAGCAGAUGCGAAAGCAGGUCUUAGUGAUCCGGCUACUCUGAAUGGAAGGGUAGUUGCUCAAAGGAUAAAAGGUACUCCGGGGAUAACAGGCUGAUACCGCCUAAGAGUUCACAUCGACGGCGGUGUUUGGCACCUCGAUGUCGGCUCAACUCAUCCUGGGGCUGAAGACGGUCCCAAGGGUUCGGCUGUUCGCCGAUUAAAGAGUUACGCGAGCUGGGUUCAGAACGUCGUGAGACAGUUCGGUCCCUAUCCUUCGUGGGCGCAGGAAAUUUGAGGGGAUCUGCAUUUAGUACGAGAGGACCGGUGCGGACAAACCUCUGGUGUAUCGGUUGUAACGCCAGUUGCAUUGCCGAGUAGCUAAGUUUGGAAUGGAUAACCGCUGAAAGCAUCUAAGCGGGAAGCCAACCUCAAGAUAGAUUUCCCCAUUAGAUACGUUGGAGACUACAACGUUGAUAGGUCACAGGUGUAAGCACAGCGAUGUGUUCAGCCGAGUGAUACUAAUAUGUCAAUUGCCUUAAUAUU
RNAcentral lists this ribosomal RNA (2905 nucleotides) under marine sediment metagenome. RNAcentral's name for it is "bacterial LSU rRNA". It matches the Rfam family "Bacterial large subunit ribosomal RNA". The record is from RNAcentral.